RNA transcript from Anopheles stephensi (Asian malaria mosquito), 7978 nucleotides. It is a transcript of the gene named hippocampus abundant transcript 1 protein, with no coding region annotated. The record is from RefSeq and is a predicted model, not a curated record. The transcript has 12 exons. NCBI's taxonomy places the organism in Eukaryota, Metazoa, Arthropoda, Insecta, Diptera, Culicidae.
CCGUGGCGUCAGUUCGUGGUUUACCAUCGAACGCGCAUGAAGCCGUUCGUCGUUUUUGGUUUCUUAUUUUUUCGGUGAACAAAAAUGGUGGAGUCUUGUGGCGUUGCGUUCGGAUCGUUACAGUAACGGUGAUUGCUUGUCUGCCAAGCGCGCACACUUCGCACCCAGCCGACCAGUGGAAAACGACAAUCGACGAAACAGAGAACGUCAGCAAUUUGGUCCUGUGCAGAAAGAUAAAUUUCAUCUAGCAGCCGGAGAGUGCUUGGUGAAGAAGCAGCAGUGGAACAGAGCAAAAAAAUCCAUCCAUUCACAGUUGGUGUCAAUUUGGUGUUCGCUGGUGGUUGGUUUGGGAGCGCUUGAAGAAGGUUCUGUUGUGGUGUAAAAGAAUUUUCCUUCGAAUCGGUGGUGGCGUAAGCGAAAGGGAAAACCGAAAGAAUAACCCCGUGCGAGACAAAAAUUGCAUUUCACGGUGCAUCAUUUUUACCCCUGGUGCGACAAUAAUAAAAGGAAAUCUCCGUUGGUUGGUGGUGGCCGUGCUUCGUGGUCGUGUGCGUAAUCCGAUACCAUCAACGUUUUGCUGUAUAAUUUGCUUCCUUUUUUUUGCAAUCGGAAAAGCAAUCGUGUGCCAUAUCUUGAGCUUUAGUGCAAGUGAGAGAGAGAGGGAGAGAGAGGGAGAGCGAGUGAGUGAGUGCAGUUUUUUUGGAAAGGAAUACUAAAGCAAUAAUUCCCUACGGUGUGUUUCGGUUGACAGCUCCGGUAGAAGCAAACGUAACAAAAACCUCAAUCGAAGCUAGAAAGAAGCGUGAAAAAAGGCAUCUCUCGGUUGUGGCAGUGACACGAACUACGUUGCUGCUGCUGCAUCAUCACACAACCCCUGUCCAAUAGACGGACAUAUUUGGCACGAUUCGGACAACAAUACACGGAAUGCAAGGCACGACGGCACAACAGCAACCGCCAGCACGGCAACAGCAACCCUGCCCGCAAGGCAAACAGCAACCUUCCAGAGUGAGCAAUCAGUGCGUCUGAAGCAAGACCAGACCCGAGAAUACAAGCAAAGCAAAGUGCAAACUGUACUGUUGGUGUACGAUUGUGAAGAAGUAUUUAUUGUCAAAUUCAGUGCCUCUCAACCAAUACAAACAAAAAAGCAAGCAAGCAAGCAGCAAGAAAUCCGUUCAAUUUUCACCACAGCUCAGCCGCAUCGAGUGGCUUGACUGUGUGCAUCUAGUCUAGUCUUUUGAAGUGCAUAGUGCAGCAGACGCAGAAGAGAACGUUGCCGACUUGCCGAACGACGACCGGUGGAAGACGUCCAGAAGAGACAUCGUAUACGUCCCAGAAGACUUGCCCGGGUGCAAUCAGCAUUGCUUAAUCCAGCAUUGCAAUCACAUGCAGACAGAGCGGCAGGAAGGAACACACACCCACACACACAUACGCGCAGAACCAUUACUUCCGUUUGACUGAAAGCUUUAACACAUCACGAGCUACGGGCUGCGUUCGAAUCUGAACUGAUAGAGUUCGAAUACCUGCAUACGAGAGAAUCAUAAAUCUACCGCAAAGGAAGGAGCUGAACCAUAAAAAACCGGCCUACAGAGAAACAGAGGAAUAUAUUUUCAUUCACACUGAGGAGUGUUUGGUGCAGCGAAAGGAGGACGUGAAACGGAAUCCCAGAGCAGCGGCAGAGUGUACUAUUCCUGUCAUACCUCAUACCUUGUUCAAACGGCUGUACGACUGGCAACAAAGAGAUAAAAUAGCUAUUUUUUCAUCGACAAUACAUCCGACAAGUAGUUCCUAUGCGACGCGAAGCGAAACCUUCUACUUUCCGCUCCUAAUGAGAAGCUCUAAACGUUCAAAUUAAACAUCAAGCUGCACAACAUCAUUUCCCGAAAAACGCCCCCACAACCUUUCAGCGGGUCAGAUCGCAUCUGUCAAAGUCAAGCAGCACGUUUUGCAGAAAGCAUCAAUAGCUGCAGGCAGGAGGAGGCCACGCGGACUACGGCAACUGUCGCCAGAGGUUAGCAAUUCCGUCCGUCCGGGGUACGGUCUUGAUUGGUCGUCGGCGUCGGAAGCGUUUGGAUGCGUAUGGUACGACCGGUAUAAUGUACGUUGGUUGCCUCCCCUACAACGUACCCGCCAAAUAAACUCACAGCGAGAGCGGUGAGUUCCGCCAUUCGAUCGUCGCACACCGCUUGUUGCCAUCGCACAGAGUUAUCGCGCGCGCAUGGUGUUAAUUUUAGAAGCUUCCCGCGGCGCAACCUGAGGGACGAAUUUAUCCGCACCAGAGGCAGCACGGUGUGCUAACUGGGACGGCCAAUUCCCCGUUCGCUCUACUCACUCGACAAAAGACACGGUACGAAAAUCACGCCGCUGGCAGAUGGGCAGAUUCGUGUUCGGGCAAAAAGGUGGCGAAGGACAGCAAGCACCUAGAGCACCGAAAUAAACGUGCAAAAAAAAAAGUCGGACGAGCGAAGAAUUCGCGCCAAUUGUUGAAACUUAAGCCCCAAAAAAGGGGAAAAGAUAUUGUUUAUAAUUUUACGACACAGAGCAAGAGAGAAGGAACCAAUAUUGAACUACAGAUCUAUUUUAGGCCACACAAGCACUGUUGGUUAAAUGAGCCCCAGUCGGUGUCAUUAUUGUUAUCACUGUUGUUGUUGCGGUAGCGGAAGUCGGAAUAGCACGAGCACCGGCAGCGGACGGAUCGGAGGUAGAGGUCCGCUGGGUUGGAUGCAGCUUUGGCAGCGCAAGCUAGCAAUCGCAGGCAGCAGGGAAAAGUUUGCCGACUAACCGUGUGCGGUUCCAGGCACAAGCAACAAGCGCAAGUGGAAGAAAAAGGGUCAAUUGGUCGGAAAAGCGAAGUAACGGGGCAACGGUAUAGUACAAGUGAUGGAGCAUUCGGCAAAGUUGUUGGCCGGUGGUAGUGCGGGUGACAGCAGCACCACGAAGGAGCCGCCGGUAGCAGUUCCUGCUGGUGGUGGUGGUGGUGGUGGUGCGUGUCAUUCGAGCCAGCAGCUUCGACCGGCAGCAGCAACAGCAGCGGGGAAUGCAAGUGAUGCGGAAGUCUGUGAUAGAAGUAACGUGGUUACUAUGGAUGAAGUUGGGGAGACCUUACCGCUUGCCGGACGUUCGUUGGAUGCAGAGCUGGCGGAGGACAACUGCACCGAUACGGAUGAUCAGAAUAGUAAUUAUCUAAGCAUUAGUAACAGUCGUAGCAGCAGCUGCUUCGACCUGCCCGGCGAGUGUUCACCGAUGAUAGGCACGGCGCGACUGCAGCCGUCAAAAGCAGACGAAAGCCGGAUGACACUCGUAAACGAAAGGUACCCACUGCAGUCGGGACAGACCGGUGGUGUACCUGUACCAGCUCGGGGACAGCUCGAAGAGUUGCCGAGAAUGGUGGAGAUGGCGGGCGGAAGUAGUAAACUUUCUGGGUCAAAGCAACGGCUCGAUUAUGACGACGAUGAAGAUGCUGAAGAGGAUGAUGAUGAGGAUUCGUCCAUGUUGACACAUUCGGCCGCAACGACGGCAACCGUUUCGUCCAACAAAUCUCGUGUGCUGGUGAGCGCGGACCAGCAGCAGCCCGGCUGCUCUACCGGAAGAGUUCCGGAUGCCAGCGUUUGCUGUAACAUCGUGGACAAUCCGGUCAGCGAUACGGCUACGGUGGACGUUGGAAGUAAUGCGACGGGUAACGUACAGGACGGGCCUCGUACACCAGCAGCAACCGGGAUGGCUAAUGGAGCUGGUGCAGCUGCCGGUGGUAGUGGUGCAAAUCCGCAUAGCCGAGUCACGACGACACCCUCAAACUUAAGUAAUUGCAGUGGCCUACCGACCGUCACUAUGGUGCAGCUGAAGCAGAGCAAAAAUCUCAUCUACUUCCUGCGAUUAAUCUUCAAUCACUGUAAGAGCUCCGGUAUAGGAGAACCGAGCGUUUAUCAUGCCUUAGUAGUCAUAUUUUUGGAAUUCUUCGCCUGGGGACUGUUAACAAUGCCCGUCAUAAAUGUCCUCAAUCAAACCUUCCCGGAUCACACCUUCCUAAUGAACGGGUUGGUAAUGGGCAUAAAGGGCAUACUAUCAUUCCUGAGCGCUCCACUGAUUGGUGCCCUUUCGGAUGUGUGGGGCCGGAAAUUCUUUCUGCUAAUUACCGUGUUCUUCACCUGCGCUCCGAUCCCUCUUAUGUCGAUCAACUCUUGGUGGUUCUUUGCAAUGAUCUCAAUCAGCGGCGUGUUUGCGGUAACGUUUUCCGUCGUGUUUGCCUAUGUAGCGGACGUUACGACGGUGGAAGAUCGGUCACGAGCCUACGGCUUGGUGUCAGCCACGUUUGCCGCUAGCUUGGUUAUUUCACCCGCGCUCGGAGCUUACUUGAACGACAAAUACUCGGAGCCGCUAAUUGUUGCCCUGGCCACCGCAAUCGCGGUGCUGGAUGUGUUCUUCAUUCUGGUGGCGGUGCCGGAAAGUUUACCGGAGAAAGUGCGACCCAGCUCCUGGGGUGCCCCAAUCAGCUGGGAGCAGGCAGAUCCGUUUGCAGCGCUCCGUAAGGUUGGUCUGGAUCAAACGAUUCUGAUGCAGUGUGUUACGGUGCUGCUCUCCUAUCUGCCAGAAGCGGGACAAUAUUCGUGCAUUUUCGUCUACCUGAAACUGAAAAUGCAUUUCAGCUCGAUCGAUGUAUCGAUCUUUAUCGCUGUCGUCGGUAUACUAAGUAUACUGGCGCAAGUCAUCCUAGGUGAUCUAAUGAAGGUACUUGGUGCAAAGCGUACAAUAAUAAUAGGAUUACUGUUCGAAAUGUUACAACUGCUUUGGUAUGGUUUUGGCAGUCAGACAUGGAUGAUGUGGGCAGCAGGUAUUCUUGCUUCAUUAGCGUCAAUUACGUAUCCGGCGAUCAGUGCAUUCGUGUCGAUACAUUCCAACCCGGACCAACAAGGGGUGGUCCAGGGUAUGGUGACAGGAAUGCGCGGUUUGUGCAACGGUCUUGGGCCAGCAAUGUUCGGCGUCAUCUUCUACGUGUUUCACGUCGAUCUGAACGACGAGCACAAUGUUGCGAGCCAUAGUCUGAACGGAGCGGGCAUCGGUGCGGUGGCCGGUGGUGGAGUUUUCGACGGUUCCGAUGCAAAGUUUGUGCGCAACGAGACGCUGCUCGGGGGCUCGGUCCACCAUCACAUCGAGGACGAGUAUUCGCAGCUCAUGCCGGGCCCUCCGUUCGUGUUCGGAGCGCUGAUGGUUAUAUGCGCCAUCGCAGUGGCAGCCUUCAUUCCGGAGACGCCAAGCGAUACCAUCCGGCGGCCAUCGGGUGAGAAGAAAAAGAGCGGCUAUCGGAGCCAAGACAGAUUGACCGUGCUUAUUGGAGACUGAUUAGUACGGUUGAUGAUAAGUGUGACAAAACAGCCCGGGCGAUGCAACAAAAUCCGAAGCAAACCAUUGCCCAACGCAUGGGGUCAGAGACAAGACAAGAAAUGGAUAGAAAAGGCUCUCGUUGGACGUCGAUUAUGAGUACGAGCGUGGCCGAAAGGUAGCGGGCCCACUAUCACCACUGAUGCACCAGGACUCUGCUCAGCUAUAGUUGUGUUAAAUUGUAAUCCCUAGCGCACACACUCGAGCCGGCUCGGCUCGCUGGUGGUGUAGUGCGCUCGAUAGCAUCCUAAUUAUCGUCAUCAUUAGUUUUUACAAUGUAGCGUAAGCAAAAAGCAGCAGCAGCAGCAGCAACACUUUGGUGACACAAUGAGAACGAAGAAGCGUUCUCAGCAGGGGCAACAGCGUGUGUCAAGAGGUUCAUAUAAGGCGUUAGGCGAGCUUUUUUUUCUAUGAGGUUGAGGUGAAGUGUAAAAUGUAUUACUCCUCGUUCUUAUUUGGUUUUGUCAUCAAUUUUGGCGUUUUACUGGUAACUUGCUUAUGGUUACCUGGUUGUGCAGGACGGUGACACCAUUAUUGCCUCCUUCAAAAACUUUAUUCUGUUUGCCAUCGUGGAUGGUUAGUACCGUUGGUUUGUCCUUUUUUACGAUUUGUUUUACUGUCGAAUGGUGUGAAAAGAAAAUUGUGUUUGUUCAAGUGCACGGUUACUAGGUUUUUGAUUUUAAAUUUGCUUCUCAUUGUCGUUAUCAGCCUCAUCAUUUGCAUCGUUUGGUUUUUUGUUUUUACUACAGCAUACAUGUUUGUUGGGGUUGAAUAGCUUUAAAACAAUAAAACUGUGUUUCUUUCUGGUUCGGAGCUCUGGGAAAAGGUUAUAGGAAGAAGAAAACAAAAAUCCCCACACAGUUGUGGCACAACGAACGAAGGUACCCCGCUAGUAGGAUCGCCGUUUAAGCUCUUUUUAGAAUUUUGCAAAGUUUGUCCAAAGUUGUUUUUGCUCUAGUCUAGUCAAUUGACGGACACACUUAACCGUGAAGAAAUAAAAGAAAAGAACACACUCACACAACACCGCCAGCAGCUCGCGCUCGUGCUGGUAGUACACGAAACGGGUUCGCGAUUUCCACUGCUCGCGCUAACUAAUCCUGCGCUGUUUGCACCAGCGCGGGAACGUUUUUGGUGUUGAAAGGGGGAAAGCGUGCAUUACGAAGGACGAUAAUGUGUAGGAAAAAAAUUAGGACUGAAUGAUAGAACGAGAAGGGAAAACGGGCGAGGAAGAGAGGGAACGAGCGAACGAGUAUUUUGGUCCGUGGUUCGCUUAUACGUGUACGGCAAAAGCAAACCAAGAGUGAUAGUAGGAUUAGAUUAUCGAUUAGCCAGACGCAGGAAGGAUGAUGAUAAAGCGCAGCUAAAGUGUGUGCGUGAGAGUGUGUGUGUGUGUGUGUGUGGUGGUGUAUGUAUGUAUGUGGAAAGGCAGUAAAUCAGAACGUUUACAGUGUCACACAGAACCCUAAAACCCCGUCGUACCGAAAACAACAAAGGCACUACCAUUAGGUUUACUUUUUUCGCCUGCUGGGAAAAUCGAGGCAGAUAUGUGUAAAGUGUAGCUGUGUAAAUUAUGUUAAAGUAGGAUGUUUUUUGCAAUCAUUUAGAGGGGCAUCGUUUGACUUGGAAUUCGAUUUUACUACACCGCCCCGGAACAGAUAUGCGCGAUUCAGAUGAAAUAGAGGAUUUAUAAAUUUGUUGAUACCGUAAAGCAUGAAAUGAAGCAAUUAACAGGGCCUCCUCAAUCCUUCCCGGGAGCAUUUUUACCGCUGUUGUGAGCAGUAGUAGAAAAGGAUGACAAAGAAAGAUUUCCUUUAAGAUAUCGCCUGCGUACAUAAGCAUCAUAUCCAGCAAGCGUUUGAGCGUCGCCAUCCGGUGGGUUUGGUUGGUUGGCCCUAUUGUUUUUUUUUUACUAGGCUCUUCUACAUGGGACUUGGGAAACGAUCGUUUACCGAAUCGAAUCGUUUUCCGUGCAACCACACCGAUAAGGAUAAUGCCAUAACACGUACUCUACAGUUGACAUACCAGCACGAAAUCCCUAGUGUAAUAUAACGACAGCAACAAAAUGAAACAUGUCAGGAGUAGAAAAAGGGAAGAAGAAGACACAUGUUACAUAGCAGUACCAGCAUUACAGCAACAAAUCAAGAGGUAAAUAAAAUAGUGCGGAUAGCCAUGUAAAUGCCACUCGCGUCGUCGUGUGGCCGUGCCGUCGAACACCGCGGCUGCAUCUACUACGGGGGAGGGCGCGGAUACACAACACUGUUAGUCCAAAGAUUAUGAAUUAACUUGAACCUACUACUAGCGCCUAGUGAGUUGAGUAUUACGCAUCAGCGCGCGUUUUAUGAGAGAAAACAAAUGGUGAGGAACACGCGUAAUGUCGUGUCGUGUGCGUAGAGGAUAAACUUAACAGAAAAACAACAGAAACAAGCAAACAAUAAAAUACAAUUAAAAGUAAUGGAAUCCCCGCAACAUCAUACAGCAAAACAACACGUGGAAGGGAGAAAAAGACCGGGACGCGUAGGGGAAAUUAGUUCCAAUUGCGUUUUGUUUCGGAUGUCCCUUCGGCUCGAAUUUCUCUGCAACGAUGCAACGAAAUGGCCCAUUCAAC